This 791-nucleotide ribosomal RNA is filed under the name uncultured bacterium. Its description in RNAcentral is "bacterial SSU rRNA". It matches the Rfam family "Bacterial small subunit ribosomal RNA", at positions 8 to 796 of the family's 1533-position model. The record is from RNAcentral.
AGAGUUUGAUCAUGGCUCAGAUUGAACGCUGGCGGCAUGCCUUACACAUGCAAGUCGAACGGCAGCACGGGAGCAAUCCUGGUGGCGAGUGGCGAACGGGUGAGUAAUACAUCGGAACGUGUCCUGGAGUGGGGGAUAGCCCGGCGAAAGCCGGAUUAAUACCGCAUACGAUCUCUGGAUGAAAGCGGGGGACCGAAAGGCCUCGCGCUCAAGGGGCGGCCGAUGGCAGAUUAGCUAGUUGGUGGGGUAAAGGCCUACCAAGGCGACGAUCUGUAGCUGGUCUGAGAGGACGACCAGCCACACUGGGACUGAGACACGGCCCAGACUCCUACGGGAGGCAGCAGUGGGGAAUUUUGGACAAUGGGGGCAACCCUGAUCCAGCAAUGCCGCGUGUGUGAAGAAGGCCUUCGGGUUGUAAAGCACUUUUGUCCGGAAAGAAAACCGCUUCUCUAAUACAGAGGUGGGAUGACGGUACCGGAAGAAUAAGCACCGGCUAACUACGUGCCAGCAGCCGCGGUAAUACGUAGGGUGCGAGCGUUAAUCGGAAUUACUGGGCGUAAAGCGUGCGCAGGCGGUUCGCUAAGACCGAUGUGAAAUCCCCGGGCUUAACCUGGGAACUGCAUUGGUGACUGGCGGGCUAGAGUAUGGCAGAGGGGGGUAGAAUUCCACGUAGCAGUGAAAUGCGUAGAGAUGUGGAGGAAUACCGAUGGCGAAGGCAGCCCCCUGGGCCAAUACUGACGCUCAUGCACGAAAGCGUGGGGAGCAAACAGGAUUAGAUACCCUAGUAGUCC